This is a long non-coding RNA of Juglans microcarpa x Juglans regia, 188 nucleotides long. RefSeq lists it as uncharacterized. The transcript has 3 exons. The record is from RefSeq and is a predicted model, not a curated record. NCBI's taxonomy places the organism in Eukaryota, Viridiplantae, Streptophyta, Magnoliopsida, Fagales, Juglandaceae.
GUACUUGGCAUACUAUGUUUGUGAUGGCUCGAGUUUUCGUCUAGGCUUGGCCCUUAGAAUUGUUCUAGGUUUCCAUGGUAUUUUAGGAGUUUUAGAAGCCUUGAUGUAGUGACUUAAGCCCAAGAGAAGAGUGACUUUAGUUACUUGGGAAUUUCGGCCUUAUUGGGAAUUUAGGUCCAAAGGUUUAG